This 401-nucleotide ribosomal RNA is filed under the name uncultured bacterium. RNAcentral describes it as "bacterial SSU rRNA". It matches the Rfam family "Bacterial small subunit ribosomal RNA", at positions 355 to 773 of the family's 1533-position model. The record is from RNAcentral.
UGGGGAAUAUUGGACAAUGGGCGCAAGCCUGAUCCAGCCAUGCCGCGUGAGUGAUGAAGGCCUUAGGGUUGUAAAGCUCUUUCGCACGCGACGAUAAUGACGGUAGCGUGAGAAGAAGCCCCGGCUAACUUCGUGCCAGCAGCCGCGGUAAUACGAAGGGGGCUAGCGUUGUUCGGAUUAACUGGGCGUAAAGGGCGCGUAGGCGGGUUUUUAAGUCAGGGGUGAAAUCCCAAGGCUCAACCUUGGAACUGCCUUUGAUACUGGAAGUCUUGAGUCCGGGAGAGGUGAGUGGAACUGCGAGUGUAGAGGUGAAAUUCGUAGAUAUUCGCAAGAACACCAGUGGCGAAGGCGGCUCACUGGCCCGGUACUGACGCUGAGGCGCGAAAGCGUGGGGAGCAAAC